AACGAACGCUGGCGGCGCGUCUUAAGCAUGCAAGUCGAACGGCAUGAGGAAGCUUGCUUCCUCAGAGAGUGGCGGACUGGUGAGUAACACGUGGGUGACCUACCCUUGAGAUGGGGAUAGCCGUUAGAAAUAGCGGAUAAUACCGAAUACGCUCUACGGACUCUGGUUUGUAGAGGAAACAGGCUACGGCCUGGCUCGAGGAUGGGCCCGCGUCCCAUUAGCUAGUUGGUGAGGUAAGAGCCCCACAAGGCGACGAUGGGUAUCCGGCCUGAGAGGGUGUACGGACACAUUGGGACUGAGAUACGGCCCAAACUCCUACGGGAGGCAGCAGCUAAGAAUAUUCCGCAAUGGACGAAAGUCUGACGGAGCGACGCCGCGUGGAUGACGAAGGCCGAAAGGUUGUAAAAUCCUUUUGCUGAUGAAGAAUAAGCGUGGUAGGAAUGACCGCGUGAUGACAUAGUCGGUGAAUAAGCCCCGGCUAACGUACGUGCCAGCAGCC
This 499-nucleotide ribosomal RNA is filed under the name uncultured bacterium. Its description in RNAcentral is "bacterial SSU rRNA". It matches the Rfam family "Bacterial small subunit ribosomal RNA", at positions 29 to 516 of the family's 1533-position model. The record is from RNAcentral.